UACGUAGGGUGCGAGCGUUGUCCGGAAUUAUUGGGCGUAAAGAGCUUGUAGGCGGUUUGUCGCGUCUGCUGUGAAAAUCCGGGGCUCAACCCCGGACUUGCAGUGGGUACGGGCAGACUAGAGUGUGGUAGGGGAGACUGGAAUUCCUGGUGUAGCGGUGAAAUGCGCAGAUAUCAGGAGGAACACCGAUGGCGAAGGCGGCUUCCUGGUCUGUAACUGACACUGAGGCGCGAAAGCGUGGGGAGCAAACAGGAUUAGAUACCCGGGUAGU
This 271-nucleotide ribosomal RNA is filed under the name uncultured prokaryote. Its description in RNAcentral is "partial 16S ribosomal RNA". It matches the Rfam family "Bacterial small subunit ribosomal RNA", at positions 524 to 794 of the family's 1533-position model. The record is from RNAcentral.